GAUCAUGGCUCAGGACGAACGCUGGCAGCGUGCCUAACACAUGCAAGUCGAACGGAGAAUUUUAUUUCGGUAGAAUUCUUAGUGGCGAACGGGUGAGUAACGCGUAGGCAACCUACCCUUUAGACGGGGACAACAUUCCGAAAGGAGUGCUAAUACCGGAUGUGAUCAUCGUGCCGCAUGGCAGGAUGAAGAAAGAUGGCCUCUACAAGUAAGCUAUCGCUAAAGGAUGGGCCUGCGU
This 238-nucleotide ribosomal RNA is filed under the name uncultured bacterium. Its description in RNAcentral is "partial 16S ribosomal RNA". It matches the Rfam family "Bacterial small subunit ribosomal RNA", at positions 15 to 236 of the family's 1533-position model. The record is from RNAcentral.